RNAcentral lists this ribosomal RNA (563 nucleotides) under Zephyrarchaea mainae. RNAcentral describes it as "eukaryotic LSU rRNA". It matches the Rfam family "Eukaryotic large subunit ribosomal RNA", at positions 697 to 1106 of the family's 3401-position model. Lineage: Eukaryota; Metazoa; Arthropoda; Arachnida; Araneae; Archaeidae. The record is from RNAcentral.
GGUCUUGAACAGGCCCGGAGGCGAAGCGAAAGCGAACCCGGGACUCCGUCWCUCCAGAGUGUUGGGGCGGAAGCACCGGGGGCCCGGCAAACACGGUCGGUCGGCGUCUCUUCGGUCGUGGCGAGGGAGGGUUCUUCGUGGACUCUCUCCGCCCGGCACGACCUGGCGCACUAGACUGGCCUGCCGGAGUCUGGAGCGCACGGGUCGGUACCCGAAAGAUGGUGAACUAUGCCUGACCCGGUCGAAGACGCGGGAAACGGUGCCGGAGGACCCUAGGGGUUCUGACGUGCAAAUCGAUCCCGCGAGUUUCGUAUAGGGGCGAAAGACUAAUCGAACCAUCUAGUAGCUGGUUCCCUCCGAAGUUUCCCGUAGGAUAGCCGGCGCUCGUGUGAGCAGUCGCUCCUCGUAGAGCGAAUGAUUAGAGGCCCCGGGGGCCUUUGACGCCCUCGACCUAUUAUCAAACUGCAACGAGGUGCGUGUCUGUGGUCGGGACUGCGUGAGUGUAAUCGAGUCCCGACACGAAGGUGUGGAGAUUUAAACGUCUCCGCACCGAAGGAUGUAGA